Molecule: long non-coding RNA, 905 nt
Filed under: Triticum aestivum (bread wheat)
Lineage: Eukaryota; Viridiplantae; Streptophyta; Magnoliopsida; Poales; Poaceae
Description: long non-coding RNA (TAES_LNC002749)
Source: RNAcentral
GGUUGGAGAGAAGAUGGGGGAGGUGCCCGCAGCUGUCGUGUACAUACUAGUUGUAGUUGUGCUGUUUCCUUAGUGGAGUUUGGCUUUAUGCCGGAGCUUGGCGUGGUGCCGAUGGGGAUUGGGUCGCCGGCGCGAGCGAGCCGCAUGCGGUGGCUACUGGAGUCGGUUCUUAAGGUAGUGGCGAUGGAGGGCUUGCUACUGCCGACUGGAUCCACUCUGGUGUCCCAGGUAAUAAGCUCGAUGCCCCUGAUCUGGCGGAGGAUCUUGCUGUUGUCCCCUGCCUCGGAGGCCAUCAUGGUGAUGGCGAAGAGGUGGCCGACGCUUGCAACUCUGGAGCUUGCAGGUUGGGAUGCUGCGGAUCGGGCUGUGGAUCAUCAGCAGUGGAUGAUUUGUUGGCGAAGCGAUGGCGCCUGCUGUGGCGGUCGAUGGCCUGCUCUCACCGGCUCGCCUCUGUUUCUUCUGGCCGAAGGGCGGUCAUUCAAAUUCCUCCCGGCGAUGAAGCCCAAAGGAAGGUAGCUCUUUUCUUCCAUGGAGUCUAUGGCGUGGUGCUAUGGAGCUUUCGUCGGCCCAAGUGGUCUCGUCCCCAGUGUUGGCCGGAAGUUUUCCGUCGAGGAGCAGAAUAGGACCCGAUCGCGUUUCCUUUCCUCUGUUCCGGGUCCUUUUCGCAAAGUUUAGGGACUGUUUAGUAGUUCCAGUUUUCUUUUGGGUCUCUGUUGUAAUAUGUGCUUUCAUGUUUAUCCAAUAAAUAUCUAGGGCCUUCUGGGCCCGUGUCUGUUAAAAAAAAGACACUGCCGGAGAUUCAAUCAUGCAUGCUCCGUACUCACUGCGUUUCUUUUUACCAAGAAAAUGCACAAAUGAAGGAAGGCGAUGCGUGGUGGCUAUACACCCGGCACCGUGUUGGAGUA